Limanda limanda (common dab) is the source of this 636-nucleotide long non-coding RNA. RefSeq lists it as uncharacterized. The record is from RefSeq and is a predicted model, not a curated record. The transcript has 3 exons. Lineage: Eukaryota; Metazoa; Chordata; Actinopteri; Pleuronectiformes; Pleuronectidae.
UUAAACUGAUCCCAGCAGGAGGGUGGAUUCAUGGUGGAUAUCAGUAAUAAAACUAGGAAGUACAUAAAGUACGUAGGCAACAAAAGACCACGCUGAAGCCAAGAACAGCCAAACAGGCAACAACCCAUAUAAGAGGGGUGAAUACACAGACAUAGUCCUUGAUAUUAUUGGAGGUGAAAAGUCGGAAGCUCUGCAUGAGAUCCAAGAUGUUGCAGAGGAUGGUGAGCCUUCUUCAGAAACAUUUAUUCUUAAUCUCAGCCCUGUAAACGAGGGAGAAGGUCAAUCACAGGUGGAGCCAGAAGGCCUAGUUCCCACAGGACCCCCAGAGAGAGGCUCAAAGCACCCAAAGAAAGAUGACGCCUAUAAGGUACUUCUGCAAAAAGAAAGUGAAAGGGCAGAAGUACAGAUCCAUCUAGCAGAGGAACAGCUUAUUCUUGCCCGACGAAGCAGAUGAUGAUGAUGAAGAAGAAGGAGAACUCAUAAGAAGAACUACUCAUAACAAGAACUAAGAAGUCUCAGAUGAGUGGACUGCCUGUUUCCAAGAAAUGGACAAUGGAGGGGGAUGUUUAUAUUGUUUGUUUGCUGUUCCGUUCAGUCCUAUUUUCUGUUCAAAUAAAGCAUAUUGGAGUGACCCCA